Manis pentadactyla (Chinese pangolin) is the source of this 14821-nucleotide long non-coding RNA. RefSeq lists it as uncharacterized. The record is from RefSeq and is a predicted model, not a curated record. The transcript has 3 exons. NCBI's taxonomy places the organism in Eukaryota, Metazoa, Chordata, Mammalia, Pholidota, Manidae.
CAGAAUUCUGGCUGAGGGACCACGGAGCAGGGGCCAUGCACCUCUAGACCUCUGGGCUUCAGUUUCUCAUGAAAGACUGAGCUACUCCACGGGCAUUUGAAUUGUACAUCUUUAAAGUAAAAACAGAAUGCAAAAACGUCCCAAAAUAUUACGCAGGAGGUCGUUUGUGUUGUGUUUUUUUUUAAUCGCUUUUCCCAAAAUGGUACCCUGAGGUAAUCCCUUCUUAAACCUUCCAGCAAUCAAAACAAUGUGGUUGCAAAAGUUUACAACUUUAAAGCCUUUCAAAGGUCACCUCCCAGCCUCACACCCUCUCGCAUUAAGAGUGUAACGGAUACUUUGAGUCACAUGUAUUGUUCUCGUUCAUUUGCAUUUGGUGAAAUCCCUCCUUUGGACCAAUUUAGUAAGCAGUGUGCCUUGGGGUCUCUUGGUAAUAGUUCUCUUGUCUUCUCUAUUUUUUUCUGUCCAAAAUAGUUGGACUCCCAACAGAUAAAACGAAGAUGCAGCCGUUGUGCUGUAUGCUUUCUUUUUGCUCAGAUGGUUUUUCCAUCUUGGUUGGGAUGGAAUUCUUUCUGCUUCCCAACAAAGUAAGCCCGUCAGGGCUGAUGUUUACUCCACCAAGCUCAGCUCUCUCCUCAGCCCCUCGCUGCCCAACCUUCUGUGGAACCGACAUGCUUCUCCAUGUCCGGCUCAGGUGGUUCAGUCUGCGCCGCUUGGACGUGCCACUGAAGGCCUUCCUGGGAGAGUUCUAGUGCCAGUCCCAAAGGGCAGUUUUAAAGAAAGCUAGCCUACGUUGAAAGUGGAUCCCCAAGCGCCACUCCCCAGUGAGGGGCUUCCCACUAAUGGAGAUUCUCACCUCCAAAUAUAGUGCAUGGCAAAGAGCCCUCAGGCCCGGGACCCCUGCUCCCCGCCAGAUGCGCCGCGCUCGCCAGCUGUCACGGGAGACGGGCGUGCUUUAUGAGGCCGCCUGCUCUCUCCCCCGGCUCCAUGUGCAGGCCAACGGGGCUGGCUUUUAGAAACAUAUUUCCUUCUCUAUGAGUAAUUUAAAAGUGACUCAUGCUCAGCUUCACCAGCCGGUACAUGUGACCCGCCGUGCUGGUUGAGUGUAUCUAUAGAUGUGUAAACCAAAGCAGUUCUUAGAACACAGAUUUCCCCCCGCCCACGUGCUGUUUAUUUCCCUUCACCUCUCGGGGACGGAGCAAGCGUAACACAGAUGAGCUUCUGGCGCGGCCUGCUCCGUUCUCGAACCAUUAGAGGCAGCAAAGCACAUCAUCCAACAGGAGAAAAUCAAAGGGACCCGGGGAGGAAAGAGACUGGAGAGCAACCUAAUAAACUUAUUUUAUGUUAGUAGAUGAUCAGGAAGCUCUGAGGAAAAUCCACAAAAAUCUAAUACGAUGAGGAUCCAUAUAAAUGAAACGACUCUAAGUUCUGUGUUUUUCUGUCCCAGUGGAAACUGAGACCUAAAGAAGUAGAGGUCACACACACACACACACACACACACACACACACACACACACACCACCGUUUCUUCAUUUCUAAAACAAAAAAAACAUCUCUGGGAUCUGCUGUGGUUUGACUGAUAACUCCACACAUUAAAAUGCUUUUAUUUCCCCAGUUUGUCUUUAUUCCUCCAUCACUGGAGGAUGGUGCAAGGCCUGGCUUGGGGACACGGCUGCUGCAGGAAGGACGUCGGGUGACACAGCUGCCACGCACUCUAGAUAGUGUUUCCUACCUCCUUCUCACUUCCUUUUUUCUAUUAAACCAAACCUAAAAACUCAUUUGCCUGCUUUAUGAAGCCCUCCAUAACCUGGCCUCUCUCACUUUGUUUUCCAGCACUGCCUUUGUGCACCAUGUGGUUGGUGCUUGGCCAGCAUCACCGCCCCUCCAAUGAGCCGAACUGUCCCCACCCCAAAGCUUCACCCAUUCCCUCCAAAGCCCACCUCACCACUCUCCAUCUCUUCAACCUCAUGGUGUCUUCUUACCUGCACCCCCCAAGUCUUAACCCAGUGCCCCACCUCAGCUCCUCCCCACUGAACACCUUCGUGAAGCCUAACGGGACCGUUCGAGCUAUCUUAACAUCUUUUCUCCAGGACUUCUCCACUGCUUCAUUAUGUCCGCUCUCCGGUUUUGUUCUGCUACUUGAUAUGUGAUAGUCGUAUGUCUGCAGUUUGGCUACAAGUUCUUCGAGGAAUGGAUUCACAUAUUUCACCCCCAUACAUAUCCACAGCAAUGACGGGAAAUGGACAGAGCGCUAUGCGCAGGCAUUGACCUAUGCAUUUAGCAAACACCAAUUCAUCUGAGCUUCAUACUGACCCAGCCAUGUGGGUCCUCUUGUUACACCCCACUUGACAUAUGAGGAGCCUGAGGCAGAGUAGAUGACACAUCUGAAACCACACAGCUAGAAAGUGGCCGAGCUGGACUCACACACAGGCUGUGUGGCUCUUUUCUGUGCUCUCAGGAGCUCUGCUAUAUUCCUGUUGACAGGUGUGUGUUUUUAAGAGCCUGUCUUCUGCACGGAUACCUUGUUGCAGUUAUGUAUACUGAAACCCAUCAUCCCUCAGGUCCAGCGUAAAGAGAACUGGUGGUUAGCCAUCAUCUUCCAGGGAAACAUCAAAAAAUAGUAUGGCAGUAUGGGAGCUAAAUAAAUAGUAUCUUCUUUUAAGUGAAGGGAGUAAAAUCUGCUAGUCCAUCCUGGUGAACCUACAAAAUGGUAUCACCUAUGCUAAUGCAGAAACACCAGGUUCAAACCUCUGGGCAGCCUUGAGGUGGGGUCCUCUUCAGACCCAUCUUCUGAUACACCCAACAGAAUCAUCCCAAAUCCUCAGUUUUUCAACACAAACAAACUCAAUAAAACCCAAAUCAUAGCUGCAGUUAGAUUUGUUUACUCUAUUUAAAAUCUGAUCUUGCAGGCCCACACGUGACGUGCUUGAGCACUCCAGAUUGGGUGCAAGAAGAAAAACCUCAUCCUGGUGGUCAAAUCGUGGCAGGAAAUGAUGCCACCGGCAAUUAUUUAUGUAUUAGCAGUUGCUUAAAUACCAUAAGGCUUUUAGGGGAAAAGAUAGGGAGGCAGUGGUUGGAAAUGAAGCCCCAUUAUUAAUGUUGUCAAGCUAUUCAGCUGGAUUCAAUAAAAUAAAAAGCCUUGCCCAGCCCAGUGUCUGUAGUAGAAGAUGCUAAGAGCUGUUUUUUAAAAAUCUGCCUUUAUUGAAUCCAGGCUUUAUGCACAGCAUUCCUUCUUCCUGAAUGGCUGAAAAAUCACCCUAUGCAUUUUAAGCCCUUGGAGAGGAAAUGGACUAAGCUGUGUCAAGAAAGCACAGUUAGAUUUAAGGCAGAGAACUUCAUAAUGUUCAGGUGAUCAAAACCUUGGUAGCCCUCUGGAUGUACUGUCAAGACAGGCUGUGGAAUUCUCUUUUGUCAAUUUAAUUCAGGUGAUAAACCAUCCCUAGGAGUCUACGAGGUGCCAGGUGCCAUGCAGGCCCUGCGCCGCCCUGCGCAUAGGUGAACACAGCGUGCAACCUGUGCUCAAGAGGUAUUUACAGCCCAGGGGAGGGAACCAGAGCUCGGGGCUGACUAACACUGAGAGAAGGGCUCUGGUUUGGAUGAACAUCGUUUGGUAUUGCUGUGUGUGUGUGUGUGUGUGUGUGUGUGUGUGUGUGUGUGUGUGUCCAUCUCCCUGGACUUGCUGCUGUCAUUUUCCAUGUCUCUGGCUCUGUCUUCACUGUCUUCAGAUAGUUUUGUCCCUAUCCCCCAGGCCACAAGCCUUAGGCCUCUGCUCAGCAAUGCAAUUUAUACUGGUCAGUGAUGCUGGGGGACCUUUCUGAGCCCAAGUCUCUUGAGCGCCAGUUGGCUACACAACCUUUCAGGAAGCCCCGGGAGGAUUGUACUCCUUGGGGGAAGGCAUCAGGCCUGGUGUUCAAGGUUCACCUGCUCAACAAACAUUCACUGAAUCUAAGAGCCCAGACACAGAGGGGGAGAAAAGAAAGAUGAGGUAAGACUGUCCUCAAGGACCUCAUGAUCUAGGGAAGGAACAAAAAGGCCUCAGCCCGAGGGAACGUGCAAGUCACAAACAACGAUCUGGCCGUGUUAAAACAGAGGCAACUCCCAGGGAAGGUCAGAUUGAAUCCGUGAUCAUGGAAAACCCAUGUUCCAGAUGCACAGAGUUCUUGGGUCAGAUCGCCUCACGAGCCAUUCUGUCUACCCAUGAGCGAGUCCAUUGCCUUUUCCUUAGACCAUGGGCCUUAGUCCAAUAUCCACUGUGGUCAGCACUGUGGGCACACAAGGCACAAUGCCCCUCGGUAGGAGAACGCACAGCUGGCUGCUCUCCGCAGGAGGGCACAGCGGGCACUCAGGGCCUUAUGGGCUCCCAACGCAGUGCCCCAGAGAGAGACAGCUCCUGGGAGCAGAGGGACACCAGGAGAGACAGUCCAGGGAUGAAGGGAAGUCUGUGGAAGAGGGGAGACUGGGGCAAGCCUUGGAUUGGCCUUGAAAGACAAAAGGAAUGGGAUUCAGGGGGCGGGGUGGGGAGGCACCUCAGGCAGACUAGCUGCCAAGCGCUCUGGAGGGGAAGCGACAGCACAUGCGUGUUCCAGCUGGCUCCGAGGUGGUGUCCCUGUGGGGUGAUGUCCCCAUCACCAGCUCUGUUACUUCUCGUUCUCCUAAGAUGCCCGCAAAGUCAUGCCAUGCCUCCAGCUCCAAUUCCUUCCUGUCCACUUUGCAGUCGCCCCUUCCAGGCUAUGACAACACUGAUGACACCCUUCUUCAGGCAGGUCACAGGACCUGGUGAGCCUGAGCUGACAGCUGAACUAUGCCCACUGCCCUCAACUUCCCAGGAUGGCAUGUGAUGCAGUCCCUUUACUCCCACACCUUGUCAGCCACUGUAUGCCAAAGGCAGAAAGAGAGCAGAGGAGACAGAACACCCAACGAUGGGAAAUGCGGAGAGAACCCACUGACUGAGAACAUUUGUAUAAGGCCACAAACAGUAACCAGCCCAGAGGACACCCUACGGGUCACCAGGUCAGCUGUCACUGGUGAAGACCAACAGUACUCAGAUCAUGGAAAAUGGCGCUGUGCUGGAUGCCGGCACUGCUGCUGCAGAGGUACAGGUGUCGUCCCUGCCUACAGAGUUCACACUCCAACCAGCGAGACCAGCAACUGACAAACUCUUCUGCUGCAACGUGACCAGGGGCUGUGUGGAGGUAUGCAGGAAGCGCCAGGGGAGCAGGAUGGAAGGUGGAUCUCUUUCUAACGGGUUUGGUGGACUCCUCUGGCGUAUAAUUCUAUAAUAAAUGGGUCUCGUAGGUCUCAUUGCUGCAGGCUUUCCUCUUUCACAGUCUCCUCUUCUGUCUCUCUCCCCCUACCUUCAUCUCUUCUUUCCUCCAUCACCCAUUCAUCUACCUCUCUCUCUCCAUCUACCAUCUAUCAAACAAUCAAUCAAUCAAUAAUUUAUCAGUAUCUUUCUAGAACACUUUAAAAUCACAUAACUUUCUAAGGUAGGUUCCUCUUCUUGCUGCAGAGACAGACUGCCUACCAAAGAUAAUCUUGCCAAAGUGAAAGUUGACCAAGGGAGAUUGGGGUUCCUUCUUGGGAGGUCUUUAAGACAGGAUUGUUCUUAUCUGGCAGGAAUGGUUGGGUUCUGCCUAAAGGCAGCAGGGCCAAUUAGAGGACUUUUUGAGGGCCCCUGUAUAUCCUUGUUUCCUAACAGCUUUGCCAAGAACAGGUUAGGGACCCGGGACCCUGAGCAGCUGCCACCCUUUGGGUACUGGGAGUCACUGCUGCCCAGGCCAAAAGCUGAGGUGAGGAAUGGCAGCCCAGAGGGUACAUUUCUGUAGUCUCUGAGGUCCCUAUUGCAGCUAGCUGCCCUUCUAUUAGAGACUGCCAACUCUGCAUGGAGUCAUAUCAGACCUAUAAUCACCCACAACCGACGACAAGAGGCAAAAAUCCAUGAGAUGCUUGAACUCAGAAUUUUGCUACGUAGCUUGCAUUUUCAGAUGCCCUAAAGCUUCUGAUCUGUUUCCAGUGGGAGGGAAAUGUAGAAUGCUCCAUUCACUGGUAAAUUUGGCCUCUAUGCCAUAGAUUUCAAAGGUUCCCUCAUCUUCUGUUAUGUAUAAAGUUCUCCUGGAAUGUCAGGGCUUUUUAGAUGCUCCACAUAUCCAUGGGCAGGGAAAGGGAAAUCUGAGGGUGCUAUCUAGGAACGUUGCUGGCUAAGGCACGUUCUCUACUUAAUCCAAGCCAAAGGGCUAGCCACCCUAAAGAGCUGAACACAAACAGCACCCUGUCCCACACACUAAGCAGGCUCAGUGGUCAUAAGUCUUUAUCUUGGAGUCUUAACUGCCUUCGGUAAGAGCUGUUUAUUGACCUAACAGCACUGAACCAAUAGGCCUACUCCUGAGGCUCUGGUUUAUUCUCUUGGAGAAGCUCUAGUCACGGAUUCUGAAAGGGCCUCACUGGUCUACAGGCACAGGCAGGAACCCUGUAAUAGAUGUCUAGUGACAUUUAUUCCCUAAUUGAUUCCAAGGAGGGCUCCUUCAGAGUUACCAGAAGCAACCAGGCCUUGUUUUCUAAAUUAAAUGCAGACAAAAGAGUUUGCAUUUUCUUUUAGGGAUAGAUACCAAGGGCCAUCAUCAAGGUGAUUUUAAUCCUAUUUUAAAUUUUAUUUUGGGGGGAGAACAGAGGUGAUCUGUUUAUAUUCUUUUACAUUUUUUGAUAUAUUCUUUGUAAUAUAAUAUCCAAGCUCAUAAAAUUGAUGCCAUACUAUGAUUAAAAUCAGUGAUCAGCCCCAGAGAUGAAGCCUGGCAUGGCGGCCAAGAGCACACACACAGGUUUCUCCCCAGCUGAGCCACUUAGGACUGCAUGAUCUUGGGCAGGGCACUAAACAAAUAUUCCGUGCUUCAGUUUCUUCAUCUGUACAGUGAGGUUAAUGAUAGUACCAACUUCAUUAGGUUCUUGCCAGGAUUAAAUAAAUUACAAUAUGUAAUAUGUUUAAAGCAGUGCCUGGCACAUGGUAAGUGCUCUAUACUAGCUAUUAGUAUUUUUAUUAAGAAUGAAUAAAUCAUGGAGCUAACCAUACCAAGCAGACAAGGCAGCAUCUAGGAACAUGGGUUUUAAGUGGGAUGUAACAAUAUUGCCAAGAACUUGGAACAGGGCCUGGUACAUAGGGGUCAGUGGUCAAUGUUAGCCAUUAAUGCCUCUGGCACCUGGACUCUACUUUUAUUUGAACUGUUACUUAUGACCUUGACUUAUCCUUGCAGAUUUCUGUGAAACUACAUUACAUUUUGCUUCUUCUCUGCCACCUUUGAUGUUCAGGGAGAAAAGGCCCAGACUCCAGCCCCAGGUCAGAGGGAAUCCUCUGCUAACACGGUGAGAUGCAGAGUCAUAUUCUGAUAAAGGACCAGUUAGUUGGGUCCCACUGUGGAGUUCUUUUUCCCUGCUUCAUUGUCCUACUGCACGCUUUCCCCUGCAUCCUCUCUUUAUACUUAAGUCUUCAAUAUUUGGGGCCACCUCCACCCUUGGAACCUUCAUUCUCUCAUAUUUCUGUUUUGCACAUAAGGAAACACAAGUACAAUUGACAGCAUGGAAAGGGGACAUGAAAUCAGUCAGGCUGGUCACAGAAGGUCACCGCAUUGCUGCUGGCAGCUGACUGGACAUCAGUACAAGAAUAAUAACUAUUGGAUGCCUUAUUCCAAAACUUAGAAUCAGAUACAAGACAGCACUUUCAUUAGGUUCCUGAUAGACUUCUUUUGAGAGUAUUAAUAAAAUACCAUGAACAGUUUCUGUGGGAUUUUCUCACUGUUAGAAUUGAUGUCUUCUUCUAUUCUGGGUUCAAAAAGAACUUUUCUGUAUAAGUUCAAAGACCAUGUUUUGCCAGUCUAUUCAUAGCCAUGUGUGAUGUGGAUCUACCGCCCUGCAGAUGACUAGAGUUUACUGUAUAAUUUUUGAGUUUCAGUCUUCAUGCCAGACUAAUGGGUCUAAGAAAAAAAAAAGCAUCUUAAUUUCAAAGAUCUGGCCUUUUAACCUUUUAGGAAAUGAAAGCAUUUAAAUGACCUGCUGAUACAGUUCUUAGUGGCAAUCCUGCAAUUCUACUUGCACAGUGUGAAUGAUCCUGAUUCACUGCUGGGGUUAGGGAGGUUAGGAGACCCUGAUAAAUACAGAUAAAAGUGCAGAGAAAAUGCUUAGCAACUGGAGGCCCAGCAGGGUUGAGAAGGCUUGCAAGAGAAAAGCACAAUCAUGAACUGAGAAGGGAUGUCCCUGACAACAACGAACAGAUUGAUGACAUCAUUUAUUCUUGUGCAAGUCUAGUUCAGUAUGUUCACAAAAGUGCUAUGCAAUGCACUGGAUAAAAGGGAAGUGGAAGGCCUUCCAGAAGAGAGGGAGUCAAAUAUAUUGGGAAGAAUGCCUCAAGUUUGGGGAGAUAGAGAUAAUAAAUACAACUAAUAUAACAAGAGACUUCAACUCUGACCCACAGCUGGGCUAACACAUGCAAGGCACAGAUUAUUCUCACUGACCGUCAUAAUGUCCAGCGCUGGGCUGAUUCACAGUCUCUGGAGUUACAAACCCAGUGAAUGAAUGCAAUCUCAAUGAACAAUUUCUAAAGAGGAUGGAGACCUCACUGGGUAAUUACUUUAUUCAUACUUCCAUUCAUUUACUCACUCAGUGAAUAUCAUUUAUUGAUUCACAAGUAUUAUCCCAUAGUCACCCGUUUAUUGAGCAAGAACAACGCAGAUAUUAAUGAUUCUGGGCCUGGUUGACCCUGAAAACUGGGGAGAUGGGACUUGCUUUUUAAUCUAAAUAUAAUUAUUUUCCCAGCUUGGAUCUUCAAGGAGUCAAGGAUCAUGCCCUUAGAGCAGGGAUCAAAAUGAGAAGGGGUGCAUUUUAAACCACCAGUUCUCCUGAAAAUUCAAAAAGCCUCCUAUGAGGUCAUGAAGAUAGAAAAGUCAUCUUUAUGGUGUGCAGAUGGGGCUCAACUCAGCAUUCACUCCUCUCCUAGCUCAUCUUUCUCUUCAUUUGCACCACUAUCUGCGUUUCCCCUGGCUCUGCACUGGGUGUCUAUAAAACAGCGAUUAAAAACUGGUGUGUAGGAGGGGAGGCAGCAUAUUGUCGAGCUUGAAAUUAUCUUUCAAAACAACAAAAAGUUCAGUUCCAGUAUAAAAGUUGUGAUCAACUGUUCUCUUUGUUUUAUUCCUGAAAGAAAUAGGCACAUCUAAGAUGAAGAAAAACUGUGUUUCAGUAUACAUCACAUGGGCUCACUGUUAAAAUACUCAAAUGCCAACAACACCAAUUCUACCUGAACAUUCUGGGUGUUAUUUGUUUAAACAUGUUUGUUUUCUUAGUUAAGCUAAAAAUAUGUUCCCCUGGUGUUUCUGAAGGGAUAUUUAGACUAAAAUAAAAAUAAAUGACAUGUUUAAAAAGUUAUAUUCACCAGACCUGGAGCAAAGUACAGAAAACAGAUAGAGGAAGUGAAUUUUAGGACCUGUGUAGUAGUUUUCCUAUUUUGGCUGCUCUAAAUAGACAUGGAAAAACAAAUUGAGAGAAGAAAGUACAUCCCCACCCUGUACAAGUAACAAAUGAAAAACGAUUCCUCAUAUUGAGUUAAGCUUAGAAAUCAAUGAACAUAUGUUAUAUAAUAAUUUUUCCUGUUAUUACAUAUCAAACCCUGUUACAAUGAAGUCUAAUAAUUGUACAAAACCUCUUUUGGUAUCAGACUUUUUAUCAUUGGGUAUAUUCUUGACAUAACCAAGCUUAGAAAUCUUAGGGAGUGGUGAUCACCAAGAAAUAUUGUAGAAUAUUGACUAUGAUCAAUUUGACCUGCAGUUUCUUUUAAGUGAGAAAAAUAUAAAGAAUCUUAGCUUAGAAUGGGACAUUAGGGUGUCCUCACAUGGAUUAUAGAUACUAUGACUCUGUGAAAUCCAUAAAUUCCCUGAAAAUAUUAGGUUAAGUUUCCUGUGUUUGAAAAUUUUUCUGGGGAGGAGGUACACAGUUUUAAUUUAAUUCUCCAAGGAGAUAUAGACACAAAUGUUUAUGCACACACACUCAUUUAAUUUUGUGGAAUUCUAUUAAGUACCACAAAGCAUACCCUCUUUUUGAAAGAUUUAUUACCUGCCAUUUCACCUAAGAUGCCAUGCUGAGUGACAAGUCAAAGUUAAGGAGGUCUUGAUAUUCUGUGGAAAUCUACCAUAUUUUGUCAAAAGUCACCUUCCUCAAAUACAACCUUCAUUCAAGAGGCUGACAUGAGUGGUCAGUCGCUUUCCAAGAUCACAUACGGCUCAUUCCCUAAAUCCUCAGUGAGCCAAAGUAUUAGCCCUCAUGAAAACUACCAGAUAAGAAUGUUUGAACCUAAAUGUUGCAGUAAUUCUCCUGUAUGGAGCCUCAGAAGAUGCAAACUAAUUUGAAGAUUAUGAAUUUGUUGGCUGAUGAAAAAGAAGUAGAUAGGGAAUACAUUUUAACUUAGACUUGGAAGAGGCAGCCACCCAAAUGCCAUCAUUACACUAGCUAACAGUGUGCUAUUCUAUCUACAAACUCUUUCACAUAAAUUAUUUCCAGGAGUCAUACUCAAAAUGUUUAAAACCAGCCUAGUGUGUGCCCAGACCAAGCAGAAUAGAUUUCAGCUGGCUGUAAACAACUGGGAAAGCUGUGCUGAGACGUCCUUGGUGAAUUCCAACCCUAGUUAGUUCCAACCCUAGGACCUCAGGCCAGGUCCCUAUCGGUGCUAAACCUGUUUUACCAAUGGGUUUGUGAAACUCUAAAGUGAGGAAACCGGAGCUCAGGUGAGUUGAGAAAUGGUCCAGACCAACAGGCUACUAAAUGGUAGAGAUGAGAGUCAAAUCCAAGUUUUCUGACACCAAAUUUUCUGUCCUCCCCUGACUACACUGGUGCCCAGACAUGUUCUUGGGGAGACUAGACUGCUUGGAGCCCCAUGCCACAUGGCACAGCAUAGCUAUUGAUUGGGACCACUCAGGAGGCGAUCUAUUUAGAUAUGUUCUUGGGGCUGACAGGACAGUGACCUCCACUCUCCAGCUUUCUGUGGGGCUUGCACCCCUCAAAACCGAGUGAUGGCAGGCUGGACAAUUACCACCAGCUUCUGGAAUCCUUAAAGCCUGAGACAAGGGAGGCAACACACCAGAGAUCUGACUUGGGAUAAAGGGAAUGAAGUCGACGUGGGAUGCUGGGAAGGGAGGUGGACAUCGUGGACGGCAGUUUCAAGUAAGGUAAAUCUAGAAAAUGAUCUCAGCUUCAACUCCUGCCACUGUCGUUUGGUCGUGUACUUUCCCAGGCGAGCCGUUCAGCUUGCUCCGCUCAGCAUUCUGCAUGGUCCACUGGCAGGAUAUGACUUUAGGAGGACGGGGAGCAGUGGCAGGAAUGCAAAUGAGUGUUUUGAGAACCCUUGUGAUAAAAUCACUUGCAGACUAAUCAGUAUUUUCCAUAAUGAUGAGACUCAGUCUGAGAAACGGAUCUCUCUCAUCCUCUCUCCGUGCCUUUCUGACACGAGCCCCACUGUGUGUGGAGGGAGGCCUAGGGGGCCAGUGUGGGUGCUCAGGCACCUGGGGGCCAGGGCUCUAAGACCUUCCUGCUGUUGGCUCAUGACUGGACAUUUGUCGGCCUCACAGUGUCCAGUGCGUAGUAAGUAUUUGCAGAGCAAAUAUUUUUUGAUUGAAUGAGCGAGUGAAGGAAUGAGUGAACAAAAUAAUGAGUGAUUGAAUGAGUGAGUGGUAGCUGUAUACUACCAAGGGCAGAAAUACUCAGACUUCAGUGGAUUUCUGGGACUCCCCCUGGCCAGGUAGAAUGUUCCAAACAGGCCUUUCCUGAGGGCAGGUGAAGGAUUAACUAUUCAGCGAAAUCCUUGCAAACCUCAUCUUAUUGCCUCUACCACCAUGCCUCUCCAUAAAACGAAGAAAAGCACAAAGAACACUUAAAAAAACAAAGCCUAACCUGGGGCCUCUGAAUCCAGGUGCAGGCCCCUCCGUGCCAACAUGCCGGAUGGUCCCCCUGCAGUUCUCAGUGGCCAUGCUGGGCCUCCUAUGGUCGUGCUGGCCACUCAGCUUAGAAAGCCCUUUCUUCUCCCUCACUGCUUCCUGAACAACUCACCUUAGGAGACCAGGGGCAAGUUCCACGUCACUGCGACAGGCCCUCCUCACCACACUUGUCAUCAUUUCCCCUGGUGCUGGUUGAGGAUGGCCUUGGACUGGAAUCUGCUUGUGUUUUAAUUUGGAUCACAGCUUCUCCAGGACGAGAGAACCUUGUACCAGGCUUGAGAGAUGGAUGUUUGUUGUUGAAUAACAAAGACAUCACGGCAACGGGGGCCUGUUCCUUCAAGUGCUUUGGCUUUUAUAUUUUUAGGGACCCUCUGGAAACAGAGUCUCGAACUCUGGGGCAAGAAACAGUGCCGGGCUCUCAGAGGGGCUGGAGGAGCAGGGCGACAGGACGUCGGAGGAGUUGAGGGUCUGGGCUAGCCAGUCUGUGGGCGGAUGACUGGCCAGGGAAGGGCUGGAUAUGCUCUUCCUGCGCCACGUUUCCCCACCUCCAGUAAGCGACACGGAGGCAUGUGAACUCACCCCUCCUCAAAGCACAGCACCACCAAGCCGGCCUGCACGGGUGUGUAGGAUGCACACACCUCUCAACAGUGCUGCCGUCCCCUCCAUCCUCUGUCAGGGGCACGUUCCAAGACCCCCAGGGGAUAUCUGAAACCUCAGGUGGUACUGAAUCGUGUUUCUCCUAUUUCACAUACUUGUAAUGAAGUUUAAUUUCUAAAGCAGGCACAGUAAGGGAUUAGCAACAAUAACCAAUAAUCAAAUAGAACAAUUAUAACAAUUUAAUAAAAUUGUUCUAGUAAUAUAACAACUGUGAUUAAAGGUAUGUGAAUGCGGUCUCUCUCUCUCUCAAAACAUCUCACUGCCAUACUCCCCUUUUUUUAUGGUGACAUGAGGUGAUAAAAUACCUACGUGAGGGUGUGAAGUGAGGUGAAUGACACAGGCGCUGUGACGUAGCCGUUAGGCUGCUAUCGACCUUUUGACAAUACGUCCGGAGGACGCUGCUUUGGGACUGCAGCUGGCCAGGGAAACCAAAACCAGGGAUAAGCAGACAUUUCUGUAUUUGGUGGUCAGCCACUUCCACCUCCCUCAGCUCACAACCCAGCCUGCCACCAGGGUGGGAACAGGAUCAGGGCCCCUGGGGUCCUAGUUCUGAGGCACGUCCCCCGCACAAGCGCGCUCAAGAUAAAUCGAUAGGAGACGGGGUGGGGGUCAUGAAAGCACUUGGCUGCGGCAUAAACUGUCAGCUGGUCGUGGUUCAUGCUGCUUUACUUACAAAUGCACCGAGUAACGGAUUUCGCCAAUUCUCAUCCUCAGGAGAUGAUCUGCCACUUGGACGUGGCCCACCGCUCGAUGGGAAAGCACCGUAAGGCUCCAAGAAACUAAAAGGCUCAUAACUAUUGUUUAGAAAUGUAAAUGGCCCUAAAUUAUGGCCAGCGGUGGACGUGCAUCUAAGGGGAGGAAGGGACGUUCUGUAAUCGAUCUCGGGGCUUUUUGGCGUCUCCAACGGCAAGGCAAAUACAAACGGUUUGUAGAUGUAUGUGGGCGAAGGUUCUCAGAGUUAAGAAUGUCUAUUUUGAUUAGAAAUUAAAAUGAAUUUUGGGAAAACAAUUACCUGCCUGGGAUCCUGGGAAAGUAUAACUUCCUGGUUUCUCUGCCAGGAAGAGUGAUUGUAAAACGAGGGCUGAAACUCUCACAAACAAGAUUUUAGAAUUUUAUCCAAACAGCUGCAGUUCACCUUCAAGGAGCCCAGACUUACUUGGGGUCUGGUGGAUGUUGCAAUGCCAAGUUUGAGAUCUUCCCAGUCUGGUGCCAAGAGCUGGCCCCACAGGACAAGGAAUAGUUACUCUCUUAAUGGGAGCAAAGAACAAAACUCUCUCCCCCACCCAACUUCUCUGCUUUGUUGUGAAAUUGUCACUGUGCCUUUGAGGAGAGAUUAAAAUCCUAACCAUGUCAAAUUUAAAGGGCAGGUUCCCAGGCGGGGAAGGGAGGGAGGUUCAAGGAGGGGCGCGGGGGUGGGGGGUGAGCCAGUGGCAGUGAAUUUAUGGAGGAUUCAGGGAUCACAAAGUCACGGGAUGUAACUCAGUUAAAAGUAAUGGAAAAGCAUGAGCUCACAAUUUUAAAGUAAUAGUAAAACAAGGCAGCAAGCGUAUUCUGGUUUGUUCUCUGCUUCUGUUCUUGAGCCUGCUUGGGCAUCUGGGAGCAGGUUUCCUGAGGCACAGCACGCAUGCCAAGCGAGCGGCUGUUGGCACCUCCUUUCCUGGCCUUGACACACACAACGGUGCAAUGGAGAGCGAGGCUGAAUAGCCCACCCACUGUGGAACACUUUCUGAGAGGUAGAGAGAUGCUCAGCACCGUUGCUGGGGCAGGGGGGUGGAGGUGAAGAAAAAGUAUACGAACUCCUAAGGCACAGACAGAACAGCCUAGAGAGUUUGAAACAGGGAAUAAGAAAGCUGCGUUGUGUGGCAGCCUUGACAGAUUCUCAAACACACAGGACUCCCCAGCUUUCCAGAAGGCAGCCGGGAUCCCUCCAGAGCCCUUGAGUCUCUCAUCCAGCUCUAAACCUUUGGAAGUGCCCUGCUGGCUCUGCAUAGCAGCCCCUGCACAUGCUUUCUCCUGGAGCCAUUUGCAAAGAUGAGGAAAGGUGGGUGGAACUGAAGCAGUUCUAAUCCCGUUAGUUUGGGUCCCAGAGAGCAAAUGCUGGGGUGUGGGAGGGAGGGUCCCCAACUCCACCAUAUGGAGGGAGCACAUAUCAGCAGUGGGCCUGACUGUUCAGGACUGAGCAUCACUGUUGUCUCUGGAUGGAC